GCAUUGGUGGUUCAAUGGUAGAAUUCUCACCUUCCAUGUGGGAGAUCUGGCUUUAAUUCAGGCCAAUGCA
RNAcentral lists this transfer RNA (70 nucleotides) under Loxodonta africana (African savanna elephant). It matches the Rfam family "tRNA". From Rfam's summary of the family: Transfer RNA (tRNA) molecules are approximately 80 nucleotides in length. Their secondary structure includes four short double-helical elements and three loops (D, anti-codon, and T loops). The record is from Rfam by way of RNAcentral. Lineage: Eukaryota; Metazoa; Chordata; Mammalia; Proboscidea; Elephantidae.